UGGGGAAUAUUGGACAAUGGGCGAAAGCCUGAUCCAGCCAUGCCGCGUGUGUGAAGAAGGUCUUCGGAUUGUAAAGCACUUUAAGGUGGGAGGAAGGGCAGUAAGCGAAUACCUUGCUGUUUUGACGUUACCGACAGAAUAAGCACCGGCUAACUCUGUGCCAGCAGCCGCGGUAAUACAGAGGGUGCAAGCGUUAAUCGGAAUUACUGGGCGUAAAGCGCGCGUAGGUGGUUCGUUAAGUUGAAUGUGAAAGCCCCGGGCUCAACCUGGGAACUGCAUCCAAAACUGGCGAGCUUGAGUAGGGCAGAGGGUGGUGGAAUUUCCUGUGUAGCGGUGAAAUGCGUAGAUAUAGGAAGGAACACCAGUGGCGAAGGCGACCACCUGGGCUCAUACUGACACUGAGGUGCGAAAGCGUGGGGAGCAAACAGG
RNAcentral lists this ribosomal RNA (429 nucleotides) under Pseudomonadota bacterium. RNAcentral's name for it is "Proteobacteria bacterium partial 16S ribosomal RNA". It matches the Rfam family "Bacterial small subunit ribosomal RNA", at positions 355 to 776 of the family's 1533-position model. The record is from RNAcentral. Lineage: Bacteria; Pseudomonadati; Pseudomonadota.